CUCAUUGUUAAGAAUGGUAAUGCAGUCCCUCUCAACCACAAAAGCUAGGGCUGGAACAACACCAGACUCGGAUGGGUAGCUGUUGUCAUCAGCAUUCUGCAAACAGGGUGGAUUGAAUGAGAUGGGGUCUUUUUACCUUGGGCAUUGGGGGCCAAGCAGACUGACUCCAUUAACGGCAAGGAUCCUGUCUCCCGGUUGCAGCUUCUCACAGCGGGCUGCCGGUGUGUUGGGGACCACUGCCCUGAUGAAGAUGCCUUUCACCUUCAACGACAUGUCCUGGAAAAAUGAGGCACUGAUGUUUCGUUUUGGUCCAAAGAGCAACUGAGUGACUUUUGGAGAAGUUGGUUUAGGGACAACGUUCUAUACAAUUGUGUGGUAUGUUGACAAUAAUGUGUGUCCAUCAUGUAUUAUUAUUACUUUGUAAAACAUUAUCUGCACAUAAUCAACUGUCGCCAUUAAAGACAUGCAGUAAUAUACCUCCAAUCCCAGUGUUUUCA
Molecule: long non-coding RNA, 497 nt
Organism: Syngnathoides biaculeatus (alligator pipefish)
Lineage: Eukaryota; Metazoa; Chordata; Actinopteri; Syngnathiformes; Syngnathidae
Exons: 3
Source: RefSeq, a predicted model, not a curated record